Aethina tumida (small hive beetle) is the source of this 4388-nucleotide long non-coding RNA. RefSeq lists it as uncharacterized. Lineage: Eukaryota; Metazoa; Arthropoda; Insecta; Coleoptera; Nitidulidae. The record is from RefSeq and is a predicted model, not a curated record. The transcript is spliced from 2 exons.
UUUACAAUUCAAUUAUUUCAACUUUGCUGUCAUUUUGAACAAAAAUACUGAUACAACAGAGGUUUUAAUUCACGAUUAUAUUCAGUAAAAUAUAUUUUCAAGUGAUGGUAUUUUUUGUUCAGAAGCGGGAGUGAAGUUAAACAUUUGCAAUUGUAUGGCAAAAUUAACACCUUGAGCUCCAGUCUCUGAUUUUUUUUAGUUGACAUUUUAGUAGCUUUUGGUUUUUCCUAGCGUAUAUACAAAUUUUGCUUUUGACACUAUGGUUUGCUUUUUUCUAGUAGUAGUAUAGUAGUUUUGUUAAUUUAUACACAAGUAACGACAUCCUAAAACCCUUCUCCCUCCAUUGACGAAGUAUUUUUGAGAAUCUCAUUUAGUGUUGCGACAUUUUCAUUAUUUCUGAUUAACUUUAAUUUUUUGCUUUUGUUAUGGCUUAAUUUAUCGAUUAAUAGUUUUGAAAAACCAUCAUGCAUUGCACUUUGUGUAUCUUGAUGGAAUUGAUAUCAAUUUUGCACUUUUGUGUAUUUUGAUAAGGAUUUAACAAAAUCUUAUUGCACCUUGUGCAUAGGAUUAUUCUCAUUUACAAUAAAAUCAAAACCAGAACACUACAGUGAUUUCUCGUAUGACUUCUGCAAAGGUAAGAAGGGGGAGAGUGGGAUUGCAACUAAAAUGUUUUCUAAUUUCCAUAAUUGUUGUUAAGUGACACAAAAUUCAACAGGUUAAUCUACUUUCGUUAACUUGUGAAUUUUUUGUGUUUUCAUUGUAAAAUCGAAGUUAAAGCCCUGAAAACAUUUUGGUUUGAGAAAUCAGGGACUGCGAUGUCUCAGUGUUUUGGAAAUUAAUUUUCUCCUGCUUUAUUUUCAAUUUGUUUUUACAUUUUAUCAUUUUAACAUUUGGUUUUACCCUUCCUAAAAGUAUUUUGCCAUACAUCUGUAAGUGGUAUUUGUUGGGUUUUGUGUAUUUUGGGUGCCAAGGCAAGCGAUAUUCAAUGUUUGUUAUCACUUAAUGUCAUGUUGUGAGCGUCGGUAAUAUUUUGUCUUGAGUAUCGGUUGUUUUGUGUUCCGUAUCUUAAAAUGUUGGCCUUUUCUAUUUCAUAUCUUUACUUUCGGUCUAACAUUUACCACGUGCAUGCUUACAUUUUAAAAUUGUAUAUUAUUUCUCUGUGAUGUUUAGCAUUAUGUCUAAAUAUAGACUUAAUGCCUGUAUAUUUUGUGCCUUCUUGGAAUUUAUUAUACUUUAUUAGUAAGUUCCAAGAUUUAAAAGAUCUACUGAAUGAUAUAAAGAUUCGAUAUACUUAAUUAUUGAGUUUUUAUGUUAAUUCAGUAGUUAUUUAAAUUGUAUAUGUAGAAUUCUGCAUCUACAAUACUCCAAAAUUAUUGUAAUAUUUAUUGCAAUAAAAUUUUCGCUCUGCAAAAGGUGUAGUUGUAUAUAAUUAUAUACAAUGAGGUAAUUUUAGUGAACAAUUUGAUAGUGUCCAACUUGUUAAUUAAUUUUCUAUCGGUUAAUUAACAUGUUCCAAUUUUUAAUUUCAUUAUCAACAAUUAAAAACAAGAUUAAUAUGGAUUUCAAUGCUUAUUUGACAUCCACAUUUGUUUUCUUCUGGUGAUAAUGUGAUUAAAAAUAAUUUUUCUGACGACGCUACAGAAGGGGUGGCAAUAUAAAGCAAAUUGUGCGUUUGAGGACCUGAUGCAACAUUCUAAUAUUAAAAUAUUUUAUAAAUAGUUGUUUAUAAGAUAUUUUCAUAACUGGGAUUGGCAUCAGUUACACUCAAAGUGACAAUUUUUAUUUAUUUCUUUUUUAUAAAUUUUCAGACACAUUUAGUAAUACAUAAUUGUGUGUUACUAUUUUGUGUUUAUUGUAAAGAAUGGUACGUUUUGAUUGGUGUACUGUAUUUUAAAUUGCAGUGAGUAUAAUUUGGCUUAGAUUUAUGUUAUGUAAAUCUUUCCAUUAUUGACUUAUUUUUUUAUACUAUUUUUUGAUAGUAUUUGUACUUCAUACGUAUUUUUGAAUUUCAUUCUUUUCAGAAAUUGUAGUUACACACUAGUUUUUAGUGUGUAAUGAGGUAAAAUUUACAUCUGGUUAGGUUAGGUUAGGUUACCGGAUGAACAUAAAUUUUAAAUUUUUAUAUUAUAUUCCUUUAUUUGUGAUUUUUUAAUUUUUUGAGUUAAUUAAAUUUUUAACUAUUUGUUGUUAUAAUUAGAGGAAUUACCGUUUAGGAAUACUCUGGAUUUGUAUAAUUAUAAAUAGUUGGAGAUUUAUUUUAACUCUAAAAGUUAAAAUAUUGCUGGGAAAUAAAUAUUCUGUAAAAUCAUCUAAUAUUUAAUAUGUUUAUAACCUAAAGUAUUUAUUUUCAAUCUGUUUUCCCCUUUUUGUAAUUUUUAAUUUUUUUCAGUUAAUUAAAUCUUUAAUUAUUUUUAGUUAUAACAGAAAGUAUUACCGUUUAGGAAUAUUUUUCUGUUCUCUAAUUAUAAAUGGUUAAAGAUUUAUAAUAUCUUAGAAAAUUUAAAAUAUUGCUGGGGUGAAUGGAUGAAUUACGUGUGCAGAAUUGUCGGACAUUUAAUUUUAUUAUGUUUCAAAUUAUUUGAAAAUUUUCAGCUAAAAUUCUACAUGCGAUAUUUUUUGUGUUUUUUAGGUAAUUUAAAUCUAUUGACUAUUUGUAUUUUAUAUGAAAAGUUCAAUUUUGAAAACUUUCUUAAAUACUAAUAGUUUAGAUUUAUAUUACUUAAUGUAACUCAAAAAAAUUGCAAAAAAUCUCAACGAAUACAAAAAUGUUGGUGUUUCACCAAUGUAAAAAGUACUCUAUUUACUCAACAUGUAGGGUAUGUGGUUUUCUAAAAAUACUUGUUUGUUACUUACAUUUUUCCCAUUCAAGUUAUUUUUAUAAAUAUUGCAAUUAAAAUUAUUUUGUGGAUUUGUAAAAAUGCUUGUUUGGUUGCGCAUAUUCCAGGAAUUAUUCAAGUUAUUUUUAUGAAUUUUAAAAUUUAUACAUAUUUUGUGGAUUUGCAAAAAUACUUGUUUAGUUGCUUACAUUUUUGCAAUUACUCAAGUUAUUUUUAUAAAUAUUGCAAUUUGAACUUAUUUUGUGGAUUUGUAAAAAUGCUUGUUUAAUUAUCCAUAAUUUUGGAAUUAUCCAAGUUAUUUUUAUAAAUCUUGCCAAUACAUUUAACAAUUCUGAUUUUUUGCAGGGUGAUAUUUUAAUAUUAAUAAUAUUUUUUGAUAUUAGUAAUAUUAAAAUGUUUUUUACUUUUAAAUCGCAGUGCGAGUAUUUUAUGUUUAAAUUAAUUAAGAAAGCUCUCUUGAUUGCAAUGGUUUGCAAUGAUUAGUGUUUUUUUAAUUAAUUUAUGCAAACAGUGUUAAUUAUUUCAAUGUGUUCUUUUACAGUUGUUUCUUAUAUUUUUAUGGAAAUACAAUCUUUAUUUUCGUAAAAAUGUACGACUGCACAUUAUAAAAUCAUUUUAUUGUAUUUUAAAUUGUUAUUCAAAUGUUUUUAUUAAAAGUGAUUAUAUUAUUAUAUUUACUUUUCUUCGCUUCGUAGACAUUUGUUGUCUAUCAAAUAGUCACAACUGGUAAAGUAUAGUAGUCACGAAAUCGUGGAAAUUUUUGGAGAGUAAUUAAUUCUUUUAAUUUUUUUAAAUGUAAUUAGUUACUCUUUGUCAAUUUGCAUGCAUAAUAGGUUUUUAUGUAAAUUUUUAUUGAGUUAUUACUCUUGGUUGUUUUGAGCUAAUUGAUAAUUAUUCUUUAAAAAUUUACAUACCCACUCGUUUUGUAGUUGUUUAAUCUUUGAUUAAGCAAUGAGGUAUAAUAUUGAAAUACUAGAUUCAUCUUCACAUCAAUUUCAAGCAAAGUUUAAAAAUUUUAUAAUUGUAUAACAUUAUACUUUACUAAUUUAUGCAAUUUUAAAAUUUAAUGAAAGCUUUGCCUGAAAUGUUCGGAUGUUCGAUUCAAUUUAAAUCUAAUUGGAAGAAACUAUGAGAGUUUCUUUUGAUAUAGUAAGCAGGCCAGCUGUUUCUGUGAGGAAACAACUGGACUGGGUGGAGGUGGGCAAAUCUUACUAUUCAAAGUAAAUUUUCAAAAGACGUAUGAAAAAUCUAAUAACCGUAUUAGAGGAGGAUCCGGACUUCAGGAGCAAAUGUCCCAGCUGCGAGAGGAGGUUCAAGUACCGAUCUGGACUUCUGCGACAUCUGGCCAAUUGUUAUUGAAGACGCUCCAUUUCAUUAUUUACAUCUUCUCACUUGCCUCGUCCACCAAUCCUGAUUUCCUCGAGAGGAUAUGGAGUUGUCUUAUUGGUGAUGGUCUCAGUGGUCCAGACGGUAUCCUGUUCUUCCUACGUCGUUUUCAACGAAAAUUAAUGCCUGUAAUACAUGGUGUUUAAUAAAAUAGACUUAAAAUAA